UUAAAAAUAUAUCAUGUAGUAGAACUGCAUAAGUGUUGCUCUCCACUUUUGAAAUCAGUGGAAUUAGAGUAUGAUAGCAAAGGAAAUUGAACAUUCUGCCGUUUGAUUGCAAAUAUGCAGACGGAGUCGAAAAGAGAACACACAGAAGACUGUUGUAAUCUGGACACAAGUGUUUUAUACAUCUUCAAACUAAGGGCAACCAUGGUAUCUGUGACAGAGAGGGAGAAGUGUCCAUCCAUGUUUACAGAAUGCACAGCCAACAACUAUGGUUUGCAUGCCCUGCCAAAAGGACCCUUAUUGCACAGCCAACAACUAUGGCCUGCCCUGCCGAAGAACCCUAUCAUGCAGAAUAAGUGGAUGGAGUUCGUUGGUUCCCAGUGGUGACAAAGUGUACAGUUGGGUGCCAGACUGAUGCCCUUGGUUUGAGCGGAUCCUGGGACCUACAAGAAGGAACAAAGCGUGUCAGGCAAGACCUCAGAAUAAAAUUGUGUAAUGCGACAGAAGUACCCUUGUGACACUUCCUCCGUUGUUGCCAGAGUCUCCUUCGACUCCUAUGAAAAGGAGUUACUGCCCUGAUGACACAGAUGGCUUCAUCAACAACGAUAGGCCCUCCCAGUCAACAUCACCUCAUAAUAUUGCCUGCUGCAGUUGUGGAGACGUCCAGUUUGCAGCAGAACAUGCAGCAUAGAGAAGACCAACAAGGUGUUCCUCAUCGGCCUCAUGCAGACAUGCCCUCGUUGUGAGCAUUCCUAUGAAUGGAACGGUCAGCCACAUGUUGGCAAGUAUAUGGCCAGCAACCUGCACCUGUCAGCAGCAACAGCUUUCACAGGCUCCUCAUUUGUACAAAUACAGAAGAUGCAUAUAAUAUCCAGGGCAUAACCUAGCCUAGUGGAACCAGCCUGAUCGCUGUGUUCACCA
Long non-coding RNA from Oncorhynchus gorbuscha (pink salmon), 918 nucleotides. RefSeq lists it as uncharacterized. The transcript has 6 exons. Lineage: Eukaryota; Metazoa; Chordata; Actinopteri; Salmoniformes; Salmonidae. The record is from RefSeq and is a predicted model, not a curated record.